RNAcentral lists this transfer RNA (525 nucleotides) under uncultured bacterium. Its description in RNAcentral is "partial contains ITS between 16S rRNA and 23S rRNA". The stretch from base 181 to 253 matches the Rfam family "tRNA". The record is from RNAcentral.
UCGGAAGGUGCGGCUGGAUCACCUCCUUUAGAGACAAGGCUGCAUCGCUUGUCCAGGCGUCCUCAUAAGUAACCUGCACGAUUGGUAAUCAAGCAAGACUGGGUCUGUAGCUCGGGUGGUUAGAGCGCACCCCUGAUAAGGGUGAGGCCGGUGGUUCGAGUCCUCCCAGACCCACCACAUGGGGCCUUAGCUCAGCUGGGAGAGCACCUGCUUUGCAAGCAGGGGGUCGUCGGUUCGAUCCCGACAGGCUCCACCAUUCUUGAUUGAUGUACCGAUCGCUGCGCACACAUACAGAUUUGAAUGUCGCCAGGCACUGUGGCCUGACGACGGUUCUUUGAAAAAUAGGGAAGUAGCGAGCGUCUGAGACAAGUACUCAAACGUGUCGUGAGGCUAAGGCGGGGACCUCAAGUCCCUAGUAAAUUGAGUCGUUAUAUUUCGCGUCGGUGCUUUGUACCCACCGGCCCAGAUAUAGCUCCGAGGCAACUUGGGGUUAUAUGGUCAAGCGAAUAAGCGCACACGGUGGAU